RNAcentral lists this ribosomal RNA (102 nucleotides) under Cephalotus follicularis. The record is from RNAcentral. Lineage: Eukaryota; Viridiplantae; Streptophyta; Magnoliopsida; Oxalidales; Cephalotaceae.
GGGUACGAUCAUACCAACACUAAUGCACCGGAUCCCACCAGAACUCCGUAGUUCAGCAUGCUUGGGCGAGAAUAGUUCUAAGAUGGGCUUGUCUUAUGACUU